Molecule: ribosomal RNA, 460 nt
Filed under: uncultured bacterium
Lineage: Bacteria
Description: partial 16S ribosomal RNA
Rfam family: Bacterial small subunit ribosomal RNA
Source: RNAcentral
CCUACGGGAGGCAGCAGUGAGGAAUAUUGGUCAAUGGACGAGAGUCUGAACCAGCCAAGUAGCGUGAAGGAUGACUGCCCUAUGGGUUGUAAACUUCUUUUAUAUGGGAAUAAAAUGUUCCACGUGUGGGAUUUUGUAUGUACCAUAUGAAUAAGGAUCGGCUAACUCCGUGCCAGCAGCCGCGGUAAUACGGAGGAUCCGAGCGUUAUCCGGAUUUAUUGGGUUUAAAGGGAGCGUAGGUGGAUUGUUAAGUCAGUUGUGAAAGUUUGCGGCUCAACCGUAAAAUUGCAGUUGAAACUGGCAGUCUUGAGUACAGUAGAGGUGGGCGGAAUUCGUGGUGUAGUGGUGAAAUGCUUAGAUAUCACGAAGAACUCCGAUUGCGAAGGCAGUUCACUGGACUGCAACUGACACUGAGGCUCGAAAGUGUGGGUAUCAAACAGGAUUAGAUACCCCAGUAGUC